RNAcentral lists this ribosomal RNA (260 nucleotides) under uncultured bacterium. RNAcentral describes it as "partial small subunit ribosomal RNA". It matches the Rfam family "Bacterial small subunit ribosomal RNA", at positions 26 to 285 of the family's 1533-position model. The record is from RNAcentral.
AGAGUGAACGCUGGCGGCAUGCCUAACACAUGCAAGUCGAACGGUAACAGGCCCGCAAGGGUGCUGACGAGUGGCGGACGGGUGAGGAAUACAUCGGAAUUUGCCCAUGUCGUGGGGGAUAACGUAGGGAAACUUACGCUAAUACCGCAUACGACCUUACGGUGAAAGCGGGGGAUCAGCAAUGACCUCGCGCGAUUGGAUAAGCCGAUGUCGGAUUAGCUAGUUGGCGGGGUAAAGGCCUACCAAGGCGACGACGGGUA